AGUGAACGCUGGCGGUAGGCCUAACACAUGCAAGUCGAACGGCAGCACAGGAGAGCUUGCUCUCUGGGUGGCGAGUGGCGGACGGGUGAGGAAUACAUCGGAAUCUACUUUUUCGUGGGGGAUAACGUAGGGAAACUUACGCUAAUACCGCAUACGACCUACGGGUGAAAGCAGGGGAUCUUCGGACCUUGCGCGAUUGAAUGAGCCGAUGUCGGAUUAGCUAGUUGGCGGGGUAAAGGCCCACCAAGGCGACGAUCCGUAGCUGGUCUGAGAGGAUGGUCAGCCACACUGGACCUGAGACACGGUCCAGACUCCUACGGGAGGCAGCAGUGGGGAAUAUUGGACAAUGGGCGCAAGCCUGAUCCAGCCAUACCGCGUGGGUGAAGAAGGCCUUCGGGUUGUAAAGCCCUUUUGUUGGGAAAGAAAUCCAGCUGGUUAAUACCCGGUUGGGAUGACGGUACCCAAAGAAUAAGCACCGGCUAACUUCGUGCCAGCCGCCGCGGUAA
This 506-nucleotide ribosomal RNA is filed under the name uncultured bacterium. RNAcentral's name for it is "partial 16S ribosomal RNA". It matches the Rfam family "Bacterial small subunit ribosomal RNA", at positions 29 to 523 of the family's 1533-position model. The record is from RNAcentral.